CAGUAGCCGCGGGAAUACGAAGGGUGCAAGCGUUAAUCGGAAUUACUGGGCGUAAAGCGCGCGUAGGUGGUUUGGUAAGAUGGAUGUGAAAUCCCCGGGCUCAACCUGGGAACUGCAUCCAUAACUGCCUGACUAGAGUACGGUAGAGGGUGGUGGAAUUUCCUGUGUAGCGGUGAAAUGCGUAGAUAUAGGAAGGAACACCAGUGGCGAAGGCGACCACCUGGACUGAUACUGACACUGAGGUGCGAAAGCGUGGGGAGCAAACAGGAUUAGAUACCCCAGUAGUCCCUGUCUCUUAUAC
Molecule: ribosomal RNA, 301 nt
Filed under: uncultured bacterium
Lineage: Bacteria
Description: partial 16S ribosomal RNA
Rfam family: Bacterial small subunit ribosomal RNA
Source: RNAcentral